AUUGAACGCUGGCGGCAUGCCUUACACAUGCAAGUCGAACGGCAGCACGGGAGCAAUCCUGGUGGCGAGUGGCGAACGGGUGAGUAAUAUAUCGGAACGUGCCCAGUCGUGGGGAUAACGUAGCGAAAGCUACGCUAAUACCGCAUACUAUCUAUGGAUGAAAGCGGGGGAUCGCAAGACCUCGCGCGAUUGGAGCGGCCGAUAUCAGAUUAGGUAGUUGGUGAGGUAAAGGCUCACCAAGCCGACGAUCUGUAGCUGGUCUGAGAGGACGACCAGCCACACUGGGACUGAGACACGGCCCAGACUCCUACGGAGGCAGCAGUGGGGAAUUUUGGACAAUGGGCGCAAGCCUGAUCCAGCAAUGCCGCGUGCAGGAUG
RNAcentral lists this ribosomal RNA (378 nucleotides) under uncultured bacterium. RNAcentral's name for it is "bacterial SSU rRNA". It matches the Rfam family "Bacterial small subunit ribosomal RNA", at positions 30 to 410 of the family's 1533-position model. The record is from RNAcentral.